CAUAUAUCUAUAUACAGAGCCGUUACCUGACUACUAAUUGUUUAGGUUAUUACACACACACACAUAUAUCUAUAUACAGAGCCGUUACCUGACUACUAAUUGUUUAGGUUAUUACACACACACAUAUAUCUAUAUACAGAGCCGUUACCUGACUACUAAUUGUUUAGGUUAUUACACACACACAUAUCUAUAUACAGAGCCGUUACCUGACUACUAAUUGUUUAGGUUAUUACACACACACAUAUAUCUAUAUACAGAGCCGUUACCUGACUACUAAUUGUUUAGGUUAUUACACACACACAUAUCUAUAUACAGAGCCGUUACCUGACUACUAAUUGUUUAGGUUAUUACACACACAUAUAUAUCUAUAUACAGAGCCGUUACCUGACUACUAAUUGUUUAGGUUAUUACACACACAUAUAUCUAUAUACAGAGCCGUUACCUGACUACUAAUUGUUUAGGUUAUUACACACACAUAUAUCUAUAUAUAGAGCCGUUACCUGACUACUAAUUGUUUAGGUUAUUACACACACACACAUAUCUAUAUACAGAGCCGUUACCUGACUACUAAUUGUUGUGUACACCCCAACAGAUUUACUUACCUUUCAGAAAUAACAUUUUCUAUGGGACACUAUACUACAAAAUACUUCCACAAAUGCAGGCCAUCAAUUGCAACCAAGAUUUGUUAUUUUGCACCCACAACAAAGUAUUUUUCCUAACAAAUUAAUUCAAGACCAUGUUGCAAAAAUGUAUACACCCCAAUAAAAGUCAUAGGAGCAAAGCUAAAUGUCUGCCAAUAAAUUCCUAAUUAACAAGAAUUCAUUUACAGGUGAGUCUAAUUAUUCGUUAAUCAGGUGUCCAGUAGACAAUUGAUUACAAAAGGGUGUUCCUUACCAAAGAAAACCGCUUUCUAAUGUCAUGAUGUCAGCAAUGGCACCACAUGGAAGAGAAAGGUCACAAGGCCGGAGAAAGAAAAUCAUUUCUUUACACAAGAGAGGUGAAGGCCACAAGAAGAUCAGCAAAGCUUAGCUUAUCAGUCACUGUAGCAAAAGUGAUACAAAAAUGUAACAAAGAUGGAACUGCAACCAUCUCACAGAGACGUUCAUGGAAGUUAAUAGCUUCACAGGAGCGUCUUCUGAUGAAAAUCGCCAUACAAGUUCACUGCAGUUAGCCAAGCAGUAGAAAGCCAAGCUGGGGUGAUUGUUUCCCGUGAUACAAUACGGCGCACACUGCAGAGAAAUGGCAUGCAUGGGUGUCAUCCACGAAGGAAGCCUCUCCUAAAGCCCAUGCACAAAAAAGCAGGCGUAGAAUUUGCCAGGACACAUGCUGAAAAAGACGAAGACUACUGGGAUUCUGAACUCUAGAGAGAUGAGACCAAAAUAAAUGUUUUUGGAACUAAUGUCCUCAAAACUGUAUGGCAUUGCAAAGGUGAGGAGUACAAUGAAAAAUGCAUGGUGCCUACAGUGAGACAUGGUGGUGGCAGUGUCCUUCUGUGGGGCUGCACGAGUGCUGCUGGUGUGGAGCUGCAUUUCAUUGAUGUAUUAUAAAUUCACAGAUGUAUGCUCUGUAUUGAAAGAGAAGAUGCUACCAUCACUCCGUGCCCUUGGUUGUUGUGCAGUUUACCAACAUGACAAUGAUCCAAAACAAACAUCUAAGGCCACUGUUGCAUUUCUUAAGAAGAACAGGGUGAAAGUGAUGCAGUGGCCAAGUCUCCUGGUCUGAACCCAAUCAAACACCUACGGGGAAUUCUGAAGAGACAAGCAGAGCAUCACUCUCCAUCCAAGGUCUAAAGGAGGUCUUUCUUGAAAAAGAAAAAAUGGAAAAAGAUAAAUCUUGCAAUAUGUCGCCAACUUGUUCAUUCCAUGCCUAUUAGAAUUGGUGCUGCCCUUACAAAUCAUGGAGGUCAUACAAAAUACUAGAUGUAGUAGUUUUUGUUGUGGGUGUAUUCAUUUGUUCAUCACCUACUUUGAGUAAACCUGAAGAUUUUAUAAUCUAAAUUAUAAUAUUAACCUUACUUUCAUGUAAUGAGCUAAACAAAUUCUAGAAAUUGUUCCUGUAUUCAUUGAGAUAUUGAUUAAAAUCGUACUUUUCAGAA
Long non-coding RNA from Bombina bombina (fire-bellied toad), 2095 nucleotides. RefSeq lists it as uncharacterized. Lineage: Eukaryota; Metazoa; Chordata; Amphibia; Anura; Bombinatoridae. The record is from RefSeq and is a predicted model, not a curated record. The transcript is spliced from 2 exons.